UGCGUAGUCGGCGUUAUAAGUCAGAGGUGAAAGGCCACCGCUUAACGGUGGGACUGCCUUUGAUACUGUAGUGCUUGAAUAAGGUUGAGGUUAGCGGAAUGUGACAUGUAGCGGUGAAAUGCAUAGAUAUGUCAUAGAACACCAAUUGCGAAGGCAGCUGGCUAGACCUUUAUUGACGCUGAGGCACGAAAGCGUGGGGAGCGAACAGGAUUAGAUACCCUGGUAGUCC
Molecule: ribosomal RNA, 229 nt
Filed under: uncultured bacterium
Lineage: Bacteria
Description: partial 16S ribosomal RNA
Rfam family: Bacterial small subunit ribosomal RNA
Source: RNAcentral